AAGAUUUUAUCUUUUAGGAGCUCCGUUUUACAACAAUGGCGGACGAGGUUGUUCUCUUGGAUUUCUGGCCAAGCCCUUUUGGAAUGAGAAUCAGAAUCGCUUUAGCCGAGAAGGGUAUUCACUACGAGUACAAGGAAGAGAAUCUGAGAAACAAGAGUCCCUUACUCCUGCAGAUGAACCCGGUACACAAGAAAAUCCCGGUUCUCAUCCACAAUGGUAAACCCAUCUGUGAGUCUUUGAUCCAGAUUCAGUACAUAGAUGAGGUAUGGAGCGACAAGGCUCCUCUGCUUCCCUCUGAUCCUUAUCAGAGAGCUCAAGCCAGGUUCUGGGCUGACUAUGUUGACAAGAAGGUAAAACCCCUAUGUUGUUUUCCUUUUACGUCGCUUAUGAUGGUUUGACUUGUAUGGUUUCUCAUAAGCUUUGACUUGCAUUUGCAGAUGUAUGAAGCUGGGAGGAGAGUUUGGACGACUAAAGGGGAAGAACAGGAGGGGGCCAAGAAAGAGUUCAUAGAAAUCUUGAAGACUUUGGAGGGAGAACUUGGGGAGAAGCCUUAUUUUGGUGGGGAAAGUUUUGGGUAUGUGGAUUUGACUUUUAUCCCAUUCUACACUUGGUUCAGUGUGUAUGAAAGUUUUGGGAAGAUGAGCAUAGAGGCAGAAUGCCCCAAGUUGUUUAGUUGGGUGAAAAGGUGUUUGGAGAAGGAGAGUGUUUCAAAAUCUCUGCCUGAUCAAGAUAAGGUAUACGGCUUCGUUUUGGAACUCAGGAAGGCUCUUGGGAUUUGAGUUUUUUGAGAGACUUCAAAAUCCUUGUUCCAUUUCCAUUAGGGUUCGUCCUCCAAGUAUUGAUUAAAAAAGGUUCUGGAUCAACUACUUUAUUUGUCUAGUCUUUUACUGUUGUAUUGGAAUAAAGGGGUGUCCUUUUGUGGAUUAGGUGAGAUUUCUAUCAAUAUUGUGGUGACGUCAAUUUCUUGUGUGUUGUAGGCAAAUCAUAUUUGAAUAAAAUCUUUCUUUCAUAUGUAUGUUAGAAAUGUAUAGAUAUAAUGGGUGUGUUUUUUUUUUUUAAAUAAGAAAUAUAUAAUUAUAUUAAAAAGGCACCAAGGAGUACCACUCAUUUAUAAAAUAUUUAUAAAUCUGUUAAUAAUAUUAAAAUAAUGUAAUCAUUUACCUAUAAUUUUUUUCACUCUCUUUUUUAUCUAUCUUUAUAUAUAUAUAUAUAUUUAUUUAUUUAUUUUUUUUUUUUUUGCACGUCUCCUCCCAUGUUCAUAUCUCAUUCCCCACGUAUUCCCUAAUCACUCAAUUCCUCUAAAAGACUAUAUACGGUAGUACAAAUAUCGUAUACUACCGGAUGCACCUUAGAAAAAUGUGAUACCUACCUCUUAUCCAAAAAGAAGAAAACAAGGUUGAACAUAAAGCUCCUGACUUGACCUUUUCUAAACCAUUAUUGAUUCUUCCAAUAUUUUCAGUCCGCAAAAUAAUCACCUGUUCUCAAACCCACAAGAAAUGGAAGAUGAGGUGCUUUUUAUCAUCACCACUUUGAAAAUUGCUUCCUUACUAUCAGAAUAGUUUUACUGGUUUUUAUCUGUUAAAUCUUUUUUUUUAAUUCAACCUUUAGCUGUGAACUUUCUUGGCUUCAACAAUGGCGAAUGAGGUAGUUCUCCUGGAUUUCUGGCCAAGCCCUUUUGGCAUGAGGGUCUGAAUCGCUUUCGCUGAGAAGGGCAUCCAAAUACGAGCUUAAGGAGGGAGACCUGGUUAAGAACAAGGCCCAUCUGCUGCUCUGCUUCCCUCUGAUCCUUACCAAAGAGCCCAAGCUAGGUUCUGGCUGAUUAUGCUGAAAAGAAGGUAAACACAGAUUUGUCGUUCACUACCAUGAUCUCAGACAAUUAGCUUUGGCUAUUUUUAACCUUACUUUGUACUGGGUUAUACAUAUGUGUGGGUGAGUGAAGGUAUAUGACACUGAGAGGAGAGUUUGGAGGGGUGAAGGAGAAGAACAGGAAAGUGGGAAAGAGAGAGAAAAACAGAGAGACCAGAAAUUAAUUAAUGGUUAGUAAUUUAAUUUCUUUCUUCACCAGCUCACCGUCAAUUGUGGCCCUCCACUUCACCUGCUCCUUACUUUUCCCUGUUUUAUUUCGUUUUUUCAAACCUCACUCUUCCUCUCUGGGAAACAGGAGGAAGAAUAGUCAAGACCUUAAACGAUACCGUUUUGCCUCUUGGAUUGUGAGUGGGCUUUUGGUAUUUCUGGGCUGAGAAUGUUUAUUUCGAGUUUAAAUGGGCACGUUUGUUUUGCUUUGGGCUGAGGCUUUUAAUCUACAAGUUCCUUGUCUUACUAAUAAUUCCAAUUCAAUUAAAACAAGUACAUCAAUCAAGUUAAAUUAUCAACUAAAGAUCACAUAAUUUUCUUAUUCGUCAAAACUAAUUCAAAUAUAUAUAUUUAUUAAUAUUACGCAGAAAUUUUUUUUUUUUUUUACUCGAAUUAUCUAAUUGGUUGGUCAUCCUAUUUCUUACAGGUGCAUUCAAAAAUUUGUCACAAAUAAUAUUUUCUAAAUUUAAAAUAAACUAAACUAGUAGGUUUAAGCACAAAAUAUAUAUUAUAGUAUAUAUUCAAGAACGUAAAUCAUAACGCAAUCUUGAUACCAUUUAAGGAGAGUUUAUCUGAAGGAGUAUCAUUGAUAGAAACCUGUUUCUGUGUAAAUUGAUUAUAACAAUUAGAUAAAAUAAUUUGUUUCUUUUCAACAACUUUCGUGUUUGUGUUUAUAUCUGUUGAUUUUGAGAUUAAAUAAGAUUUAAAUUUGUUGGAUUACUGCGUUGUUGUAACAAUAACCAGCUUCUUAAACGCACCACACCCACGUUUUGUUUUUAUAUAUUUAAUGGAAAAUUCAUUAUAUAACACGAGUGAUGAGAUGGUGAUCCUUCAUGCUCUCAUCAAGCUAAUUUAAUUAAACUUCAAAUUUAACUAAAUCCAACACUAGAAAAACAAAAUUCCUAGUAAUACAAAUUACUAUUAAUGAAUAUUUGAAGGCCCCACAUCAAUUAAACUAAUCUUAAUUCCAAUUACUUGUGAGUUGAAGUAAGUUGGAGAGAGUCUUUGAAUUUGAUGAAGAAAGUGAAGGAACAAUAUACUGAAUAUUGUAAUUUGUCAAACUUAUCGAUGAUGGUUUUGUUGUUGCAAAAACAUGAUCAUCGUCAAUUACAUCAGAGGAUCCAUUGUAUUAUUUUUGCAUUGAUAAGUUUAUGUUUUGAUUUAUUUGCAUUUGUGUACUAUUAUUUUCUUUUAAUCUCAAAGUCCUUAGUGAUAUAUGUUUGAUGAUGCAUAGAUAAAUACGAUCAUUUAAAGAAUAAAAACGGACUCUUAUAUUAUGUGUUGCGGUGAAUAUGAGAAAUGAAAUAUAUGUUGAAAUCAAGAUCACGAGUUUAGUAUUGGUAGAGUUUCAUUCUUGUCAACAUAAAUCGUUGUGUCGGUAAGAUAUUUGAGUGUCGUGAUCGAUAUUCUUCUUGAACAAGGGUUAUAACUCAAUUACAUUUGCUUGUUGAGAGCCAACAAUCCCAAAGAGAAAAUUUUAUUAGAAUGUUUAGUUAACUAUUGGAAUGAGAAUUCUGAAAAUAUUGAGAAAACAAANNNNNNNNNNNNNNNNNNNNNNNNNNNNNNNNNNNNNNNNNNNNNNNNNNNNNNNNNNNNNNNNNNNNNNNNNNNNNNNNNNNNNNNNNNNNNNNNNNNNNNNNNNNNNNNNNNNNNNNNNNNNNCACUUAAAUACUGGAGAAUCUUCUACGAGAGGUGACGUAAGCUAUUAUCUAAACAUCGAACGGCUUAGAACUUCCACUAUAAAUCUACGAAAAAAUUUUACUGACAAGCGAACGCCCGUUGGGCUAUAUUUAGCAGCACCUGGCACUGUAUGUUCAUCGUCACAAUCAACUAAAGAUUUGAUUUUUAAAGAGCUCUGUUUUUUAACAAUGGCGGAUGAGGUUGUUCUCUUGGAUUUCUGGUCAAGCCCUUUUGGAAUGAGAGUCAGAAUCGCUUUCGCCGAGAAGGGUAUUCACUGGGAGUACAAGGAAGAGGAUACGAGAAACAAAAGUCCCCUACUCCUGCAGAUGAACCCGGUUCACAAGAAAAUCCCGGUUCUCAUCCACAAUGGUAAACCCAUCUGUGAGUCUAUGAUCCAGAUUCAGUACAUAGAUGAGGUAUGGAGCGACAAGGGUCCUCCUUUGCUUCCC
RNAcentral lists this long non-coding RNA (4202 nucleotides) under Carica papaya (papaya). Its description in RNAcentral is "long non-coding RNA (CPAP_LNC007537)". The record is from RNAcentral. Lineage: Eukaryota; Viridiplantae; Streptophyta; Magnoliopsida; Brassicales; Caricaceae.